GACGGACGGUGCAAGCGUUGCUCGGAAUCACUGGGCGUAAAGGGUGCGUAGGCGGCUUGGUAGGUCUGGUGUGAAAGCCCCGGGCUCAGCCCGGGAAGGGCACUAGAAACUGCCAAGCUAGAGUGCCGGAGGGGAGAGUGGAAUUCCUGGUGUAGCGGUGAAAUGCGCAGAUAUCAGGAGGAACACCGGUGGCGAAGGCGGCUUGCUGGGCCUUACCUGACGCUGAGGAGCGAAAGCGUGGGGAGCGAACAGG
RNAcentral lists this ribosomal RNA (253 nucleotides) under uncultured bacterium. RNAcentral describes it as "partial 16S ribosomal RNA". It matches the Rfam family "Bacterial small subunit ribosomal RNA", at positions 524 to 776 of the family's 1533-position model. The record is from RNAcentral.